This is a long non-coding RNA of Acanthopagrus latus (yellowfin seabream), 468 nucleotides long. RefSeq lists it as uncharacterized. The record is from RefSeq and is a predicted model, not a curated record. The transcript is spliced from 2 exons. Lineage: Eukaryota; Metazoa; Chordata; Actinopteri; Spariformes; Sparidae.
GCCAGCUGUGUCUUACAGUUGGUGCACACAAAACACUCCUUAUGCCACGGCUCCUCCCGAUAGGUCACGCCGCCUUUAGCCAGGGUCUGACACGGAGACAAGUCGACAGUCAUUAGACUGCUGGCAGCCCACCAGCCCUGGGGAUCUGGCUUACAGACAACAAGUCAAGCAGACUGGCAAUUACUGUGUCACAUUCAACCCUGGCUGCCGCUCAAUCGUGGACCCUCGCCUCCGUGUGUUCCUCGUCUCCUUCCUUUUUUAUUUUUCAUUUUUUUCUGAAAACCUCUUUCCUUUCUAUAUCUGCUUGAUCUGUUAUUUUAUACUUUUCAUGUGUCUCUGCCUCCUGGAGUGUGCCAUGUCAUCAUUUUCCAAAGUCAUUUGACUAUCUAUCUUGAAACUUGAAUUUGUGUACUACAUGGAAAAUAAAAUGUAGAGGGCAAUGAGACGGAUGCUUAGUGGGUGAGCGAG